AAGUCGUAACAAGGUUUCCGUAGGUGAACCUGCGGAAGGAUCAUUACAAGGUUUAACUGUCGUUCGCCUUCGGGCGAUUCGGCAGACCACGAUUCAUCCCUAUGUGCACUCAUCGAACAAAAGGCCUAGGCGCGAAAGUCUUCUCUCGUGGAGGACGAGCGCAAGGUUUUUAUUUUUCAAACUCGCUUUAAAUUUUUGCCUGAAUAUAUAUGAUUGUAAAUAAUCAAAAAAAUACAACUUUCAACAACGGAUCUCUUGGCUCUC
The sequence is an unclassified non-coding RNA, 264 nucleotides long. The stretch from base 1 to 46 matches the Rfam family "Eukaryotic small subunit ribosomal RNA", at positions 1786 to 1831 of the family's 1831-position model.